Molecule: ribosomal RNA, 1658 nt
Filed under: metagenome
Description: bacterial LSU rRNA
Rfam family: Bacterial large subunit ribosomal RNA
Source: RNAcentral
CUAGUCGAGCGACCGGGCAUGGAUAAUAAUCGGGCAUAAGCAUACUACCGAAGCUAUGAAUUUGUAUGAAUAAUACAUCUGGUAGGGGAGCAUUCCAGCGACGUCGAAGCGGUUCUGUGAGGAGCCGUGGAGUUUCUGGAAAAGCAAAUGUAGGCAUAAGUAACGAUAAAGGGGGUGAGAAACCUCCUCGCCGAAAGACUAAGGUUUCCUGAUCAACGCUAAUCGGAUCAGGGUUAGUCGGGACCUAAGGUUCAGCCGAAAGGCGAUACCGAUGGCAAACAGGUUAAUAUUCCUGUACCUGCAUAUCAAUAAAAGUGACGGAGAGACGAGGUGGCUGGGGGCUGACGGAAUAGCCCGCUGAGCCGAGCCUUCGGGCAAAGCGAAGUCAAGCAGUUUCUUCCAAGAAAAGCGAGAUAUGCAGCUCGUACCACAAACGGACACACGUAGUUGGGUUGAGUAUACUAAGGCGCUCGAGUGAUCCACGGCUAAGGAACUCGGCAAAUUAACCCUGUAACUUCGGGAGAAAGGGUCCCCAUCGUAAGGUGGGGCGCAGAGAAAUGGCCCAGGCGACUGUUUACCAAAAACACAUGGCUAUGCAAAAUCGAAAGAUGACGUAUAUGGCCUGACACCUGCCCGGUGCUGGAAGGUUAAGAGGAGAUGUCAGCGUAAGCGAAGCAUUGAAUUGAAGCCCCAGUAAACGGCGGCCGUAACAAUAACGGUCCUAAGGUAGCGAAAUUCCUUGUCGGGUAAGUUCCGACCUGCACGAAUGGUGUAACGAUCUGGGCACUGUCUCGGCCGUGAGCUCGGUGAAAUUGUAGUAUCGGUGAAGAUGCCGAUUACCCGCAACGGGACGGAAAGACCCCGUGAACCUUUACUGCAACUUAGCAUUGAUUUUGGGUAAGUGAUGUGUAGGAUAGGUCGGAGACUAUGAAGCGGCGUCGCCAGGCGUCGUGGAGUCAUCCUUGAAAUACGACCCUUUGCUUAUCUGGAGUCUGACUCGGGAAACUGAGAACAUUGCUUGGUGGGUAGUUUGACUGGGGUGGUCGCCUCCAAAAGAGUAACGGAGGCUUCCCAAGGUUCCCUCAUGUCGAUUGGUAACCGACAGCAGAGUGUAAUGGUAUAAGGGAGCUUGACUGUGAGAGAGACAACUCGAUCAGGUACGAAAGUAGGGCAUAGUGAUCCGGUGGUUCCGCAUGGAAGGGCCAUCGCUCAAAGGAUAAAAGGUACUCCGGGGAUAACAGGCUGAUCGCCGCCAAGAGCUCAUAUCGACGCGGCGGUUUGGCACCUCGAUGUCGGCUCGUCACAUCCUGGGGCUGGAGAAGGUCCCAAGGGUUCGGCUGUUCGCCGAUUAAAGUGGCACGCGAGCUGGGUUCAGAACGUCGUGAGACAGUUCGGUCCCUAUCUGUUGUGGGCGUUGGAGAUUUGAGAGAACCUGUCGUUAGUACGAGAGGACCGCGAUGGACAUACCGCUGGUGUAUCUGUUGUUCCGCCAGGGGCAGCGCAGAGUAGCUAUGUGUGGAAGGGAUAAGUGCUGAAAGCAUCUAAGCACGAAGCCCAUCUCAAGAUGAGAUCUCCUUGAGGGACGUUAAAGACGAUGACGUUGAUAGGCUGUAGGUGUAAAGGUGGUAACAUCAAAGCCGAGCAGUACUAAUUACCCU